Molecule: ribosomal RNA, 253 nt
Filed under: uncultured bacterium
Lineage: Bacteria
Description: partial 16S ribosomal RNA
Rfam family: Bacterial small subunit ribosomal RNA
Source: RNAcentral
GACAGAGGAUGCAAACGUUGCUCGGAAUUACUGGGCGUAAAGGGCGCGUAGGCGGGAUGGCAAGUCGGUCGUGAAAUCCCUCGGCUCAACCGAGGAACGUCGAUCGAUACUGCUGUUCUUGAGGAUUGCAGAGGAGACUGGAAUUCCCGGUGUAGCGGUGAAAUGUGUAGAGAUCGGGAGGAACACCGGUGGCGAAGGCGGGUCUCUGGGCAAUUCCUGACGCUGAGGCGCGAAAGCGUGGGGAGCAAACGGG